CAAGUUCCUGGAGGAGAUCAUCCAGCUAGUCAUGCUAGAGCACUUUUUCAAUGUGCUCCCCAACGAGAAGGUGACGACGCAUUCGUAUGUUAAUCCAUAUCAACUUUCGAUGCCUUUGACUGCGCCUACUGUGGUGACCAUGGGUAACGGGGAAUCAGGGUUCGAUUCCGUACAGGGACCCUGAGAAACGGCUACCACAUGCAGGUAAGGAAGUAGGCACGCAUAUGACCAAGGUAGUGACGACAAAUAACAAUACAGGACUGUUUAGAGGCCCUGUAAUUGUAAUGAGUCCACUUGAAAUCCUUUAACUCUGAUCAAUUGGAGGGAAGUCUGGUGCAGAGCCACUGACCCGUGCGUGCUGCAGCUGCAACUCCACUAUCGUG
Pelobates cultripes (western spadefoot toad) is the source of this 383-nucleotide non-coding RNA. The record is from the annotation of a GenBank genome assembly. Lineage: Eukaryota; Metazoa; Chordata; Amphibia; Anura; Pelobatidae.